This 74-nucleotide transfer RNA is filed under the name Brettanomyces bruxellensis AWRI1499. It matches the Rfam family "tRNA". From Rfam's summary of the family: Transfer RNA (tRNA) molecules are approximately 80 nucleotides in length. Lineage: Eukaryota; Fungi; Ascomycota; Pichiomycetes; Pichiales; Pichiaceae. The record is from Rfam by way of RNAcentral.
GCCUUGCUAGCUCAAUCGGUAGAGCGUGUGACUCUUAAUCACAAGGUUUGCGGGUUCAAGCCCCGCGUAGGGCU